RNAcentral lists this ribosomal RNA (223 nucleotides) under Escherichia coli. Its description in RNAcentral is "partial 23S ribosomal RNA". It matches the Rfam family "Bacterial large subunit ribosomal RNA", at positions 1129 to 1354 of the family's 2925-position model. The record is from RNAcentral. Lineage: Bacteria; Pseudomonadati; Pseudomonadota; Gammaproteobacteria; Enterobacterales; Enterobacteriaceae.
UGGCCGGAGGGACCAGAAGUGCAAGCUGGGUGGGAAGCUGGACGCGGGCUAAACCAUGCACCGAAGCUGCGGCAGCGACGCUUAUGCGUUGUUGGGUAGGGGAGCGUUCUGUAAGCCUGUGAAGGUGUGCUGUGAGGCAUGCUGGAGGUAUCAGAAGUGCGAAUGCUGACAUAAGUAACGAUAAAGCGGGUGAAAAGCCCGCUCGCCGGAAGACCAAGGGUUC